Long non-coding RNA from Equus caballus (horse), 3218 nucleotides. Lineage: Eukaryota; Metazoa; Chordata; Mammalia; Perissodactyla; Equidae. The record is from Ensembl.
GGUUCUUUUGGACAUUAGUCGGCCAUCUUCCCUCUUGCUAGCAAGCUGGAGUAAAUUGCCCUUUCUCUGCCACCAUCUUGCGUCUUGACGAUUGGCUUUUGUCUCACGGUGAGAAGUGAGAAGAUGGUGCCCUUUGUGAGGUUGCUGGAUUGUAAAACUGGAAAUGCAAGUUUAUCUCAACUGGUCCUCUAGCCUAAAAACUGACAGAAAGACACUGAUAGCAAAGGGGCCCACAGUGAGAAAGAACGUUUUCCUUAUCCACAACCCAAACAACAGGAUCAGAAGGACUUUUCUUAGUUCAAAAAUUAGUAAAAAGAAACAAACUAAUAUGGCAUCUGAGAAAGUAUUUUAUAGCUAAGAGGUGAAAAGUUGAGGUGCAGAGGGGAGAAUUCUUCAGGAAAAUAUUUAAUUUAGAAAGGAGGACAAGUUCUAGAAAGCAUCUGCAAUAUAUUCUCAAUAUAAUUAAGGCAUGGACUUGAAGUAAGAGAUGAAUGUGGGUGACAAUACAGCAGAGAUGAUGAGGUAGGUGGAUGAUGAGCAGUCAUAAACGGGGAUUAAAAGAUAAGGAAAAGUUUAGUUGCAGAGUUUAAAUCUUCAAAAAUUCAUAAAGCACAAUCAAACCUGCAUAAAAUCAAAUCAGUGAUGUGGAGAGAAAAUUUGAGAAAGUUUCCCAGAAUGCAAAGGAAAAGGUAUAGGAUGAAAAGGAUGAGAGAAAAAAAUAGUAGACGUUGAGGAGAGAGGUAGGAGGCCCAACAUCAGAUAAUUGGUGACGGUGAGCGAGAUUGGAUGCAACGCUCAGAGAUGUCAGGGGAUGAAACAGAAGGAUACUCCUGAUCUGAGGAAGAAAACUAGCAUCAGGAAAAUAUAACGUUAAAAAAAUGUGUCCACCCUGCAAGAUGGCCCCCAAAGGAUCUCUGCCUGCUGGUGUUCACAUUGUAUACAGGUAGGUCUGUGUGACCAGUGGAAUAUGGCAGAAGUGGUAGUCAGUCACUUCUGAGAUAAAGCUCAUAAAGACACUGUGGCUCUGUCUUGGCUGUUCUUCUUCUCUCUCUCGGAUCACUCUCUGGAGGAAUCGAGCUUUCAUGUCAUGAGCAGCCUUAUGGAGAGGCCCAUGAGGGGAGGAGCCGAGGUCCUUCUACCAACAGCCAUGUGAGGACCCUCCUGCCCCAGCAAACCUUCAGGUGACUAUAGCACCCCCAACAUCUGGACUGCAACCUUGUGAGAGACUGAGCCAGACCCAUCCGGCUAAGACUCUCCCAGAUUCCUGGAGAGAUAAAAAAUGUUUGCUGUUUUAAGAUGCUAAAUUUUGGGGCAAUUUGUUAUGUAGCAAUAGAAAACUAAUACAACCAUGGAAUGGAGGAGGGAGGUAGAAGGGAGAUUAGCAGAGAGGAAAUCCACGAGAUCAGAACAUGUUUAAAUGCUAAUGGGAGAAUUCAAUAGAUAAGGAGAAAGGCUGGAAACACAGUGUGCAGAAGGGGAUGUGUAAUAGUGUGAGGAUCCUGAGAAGGAGGGUGGGGUGGGAUGCAGAGGACAGCUUUGGGGAUUGGCCUUCAAUAGGAGCAGGGGCACUAUUUAGGGUCUCACACUCAAAUGCUAAUUUGCCUGACCAGUAGGGCAUUUGAGUUUGAUAUUCCAUGAGAGAAGCAAAUCUCUGACAAGCUUAAUUGGGAAAAUGCAAAUAUAUAAUGUCAAUAACAAGAAAGGGAAUAUUAUGGAAGAUGUGGAUGAGAUUAAAACCAUUGUAAGCAAGAUGAUAUACAACUCUGAGUUGAAGAAUUUGAAAAUUCAGAUGAGAUUCUUUUCUAAGACAAUUAUUAAUUAUCAGUUGCCAGAAUUGUUUUAUAGAAUGAAAGGUCAGAAUAAUAAGCAUGGGAGAAAUGGAAAUAGCUGCCAAAGAACUACAUUGAGAAAUGUGGUGGACAUAUAUGGUUUCACAGAUUAUUUCAUUCAAACUCUAAAGUUGUGUUGUCCAAUACAAUAAGUGACAAGUCACAUGUGGCCACUUAAUUUUAAAUUAAUUAAAAUUAAAUAAGAUUUAAAUCCAGUCCUUCAGUCACACUAGCCAUUCUUCAAGUGCUCAGUAGCCACAUGUGGCUAGUGACUGCCACAUUGUACAGUGCUGAUAUAGAACAUUUCCCUCAUCACAAAAUCUUUUUUUUUUUUUUGAGGAAGAUUAGCCCUAAGCUAACUGCUGCCAAUCCUCCUCUUUUCGCUGAGGAAGACUGGCCCUGAGCUAAUAUCCAUGCCCAUCUUCCUCUACUUUAUAUGUGGGACGCCUACCACAGCAUGGCGUGCCAAGCAGUGCCACGUCUGCACCCGGAAUCCAAACCAGCAAACCCCGGGCCGCCAAAGCAGACCAUGCGCACUUAACCGCUGUGCCACCGGGUCGGCCCCUCAUCACAAAAUCUUAAUAGGCCAGUGAUGCUCUAAAGGAAUAGAUCAUUUUUAUAUGGUAUAACUUGUUUCCGUGCACAUAAAAAGGCUGUGAGUCUCCCAACUUAUUUACUAAACAAUAACUUUGAGGCCAAAACACAGCCAAGAAGACAUCACAAGAAUUAGAAACCAAUCUCAUAUAUGAAUAGAUGUAGACAUUCUGAAUAAACCUCUGGUACUUCAAAUCUAGACAUUCAGGAAUAUUCCAACAUUGGCAUUCUGGAAGUGCAAGGAAAUGUUAAUAAUAGGAAAUCCAUUAAUAUGACAAUGCAUCAGUAGAGAAAAGGAGAAAAACAUAAUUGUCGUCAUAGAUCUAAAACAAGUAUUUGAUAAAAUUAAACAGUCAUUCCUGAAUAAACUGGGACAAAAAGAAACUUUAUUAGGAUGCUAAAGAAUAAUUUUCUCGGAUAUCAACAUCGUCCCAAACCUCAUCCCAAACAGCUCAACUCAUGUUUAAUGAGAAAAUGCUCCAGGCAUUUCAAUUAAAGUGAGGAAUAAGACAAGAUCAAGCCUGCUAUCAUUUCUAUAAUUUAAUACUGCUCUAGAAUUUUCAGUAAACAAUAACAAACGAGGGGCUGGCCCUGUGGCCGAGUGGUUAAGUUCGUGAGCUCUGCUGAGGCGGCCCAGGGUUUCCCUGGUUCGGAUCCUGGGCGUGGACGUGGCACCGCUCAUCAGGCCAUGUUGAAGUGGCAUCCCACAUGCCACAACUAGAAGGACCUGCAACUAAGGUAUACAACUAUGUACCAGGGGGGAUUUGGGGAGAUAAAGCACUGAAAAAAAAAAAA